Molecule: ribosomal RNA, 1356 nt
Filed under: uncultured bacterium
Lineage: Bacteria
Description: bacterial SSU rRNA
Rfam family: Bacterial small subunit ribosomal RNA
Source: RNAcentral
GACGAACGCUUUCUGGAGGCCUAACACAUGCAAGCCGAGCGGGAUUGGCUCCCCCGAAAUGACAGAGCGGCGCACAGGGGCGGAACCAUGGGCCCCCGCCUUCACGGGGGGAUAGCGCUUUCCAAAGGAAGACUAAUACUCCGUAAUACAUUGAACGGCAUCGCUAAAUAUUGAAAGCUCCGGGGGAUACAGAUGGGCACGCCCAACAUUAGCUAGAUGGUGAGGAAACGGCUCACCAACGCGAUGAUCUAUAAGGCGCCUGAGAGGGUGAUCCCCCGCACUGGAACUGAGACACGGACCAAACUCCCACAGGAGGCCGCAUCGAAGAAUGUUGCUCACUGGGAGCGAGCCUGAACCCACCCUCCCGCGUGAAGGACCACUGCCCUAUGGGGUGAAAACUUCUUUUGUAUAGGGACAAACCUACCCUCGUGAGGAGAACGGAACGUGACUAUACGAAUAAGCACCGGCUAACUCCCUGCCAGCACCCGCAGCAAUACAGAGGGGUGCAAGCGUCACCCGGAUUUAUUGCGCUUAAAGGCUCCGUAGGCGGACUGUAUAAGUCAGAUGGUGAAAGCCUGCCCCCUAUGGAGAGAACUGCCAUUGAUACUGUUCGCUCUUGAGGUAUAUUUGAGGUAGCUGGAAUACGUGGGGUAGCGGCGAAAUGCAUAAAUAUUACUUAAAACACCACUUGCAAAGGCAGGCUACCGAUAUAUAACUGACCCUGAGGGACAAAAGCUGUGGGAGAGCGAACAGGUAUUAAAUCCCCGUGGUACCCGCGCCGAAAACAAUGCUGACUCCUUUUUGGCCUUCUAGGGUUCAAAGACCAAUCAAAAGUGAGUAAGUUAGCCACCUGGGGAGUACCCUCGCCAGAGUGAAACUCACAGGAAUGGGCGGGGGCCCGCACUAGCCGGGGAUUAUGUGGUUUAAUUCAAUGAUACGCUAGGAACCUUACCACGACUUAAAUGGGAGUGGGCAGCCUUAGAAAUAGAGCUUUCUUCGGACAAUUUUCAAGGUGCUGCAUGGUUGUCCGUCAGCUGGUGCCUUGAGGUGUUACGCUAAGUCCUGCAACGAGCGCAACCCCUGUCACUAGUUGCCAUCCUUCAUUUGGGGACUCUCGCGAGACUGCCUCCGCAAGUAGAGAGGAAGGUGGGGAGGACGUCAAAUCUUCGCGGCCCCUACGUGGUGGGCCCCACACGUAAUACACUGGCCGGUACAGAGGGCAGCUCCACACCGAUGGGGGGCAAGUCUCGAAAGCCGGUCUCAGUUUGGAGUGGAGUCUGCACCUCGACUGUACGAAGCUGGGAUCGCUAGUGAUCGCGCGUCUCCCAGGGCGCGGGGAAUUCGUUCCCGGGCCUU